This 468-nucleotide ribosomal RNA is filed under the name uncultured bacterium. RNAcentral describes it as "partial 16S ribosomal RNA". It matches the Rfam family "Bacterial small subunit ribosomal RNA", at positions 28 to 507 of the family's 1533-position model. The record is from RNAcentral.
GAUGAACGCUGGCGGCGUGCUUAACACAUGCAAGUCGAACGGUGAAGGCGGAGCUUGCUCUGCUGGAUCAGUGGCGAACGGGUGAGUAACACGUGAGCAAUCUGCCCCUGACUCUGGGAUAAGCGCUGGAAACGGCGUCUAAUACUGGAUACGAGCUGCGAAGGCAUCUUCAGCAGCUGGAAAGAACUUCGGUCAGGGAUGGGCUCGCGGCCUAUCAGCUUGUUGGUGAGGUAACGGCUCACCCAGGCGUCGACGGGUAGCCGGCCUGAGAGGGUGACCGGCCACACGGGGACUGAGACACGGCCCAGACUCCUACGGGAGGCAGCAGUGGGGAAUAUUACACAAUGGGCGAAAGCCUGAUGCAGCAACGCCGCGUGAGGGACGACGGCCUUCGGGUUGUAAACCUCUGUUAGCAGGGAAGAAGCGAAAGUGACGGUACCUGCAGAAAAAGCGCCGGCUAACUACGUG